UAAGGAAUAUUGGGCAAUGGAGGCAACUCUGACCCAGCCAUGCCGCGUGGAGGAUGAAGGUCCUCUGGAUUGUAAACUUCUUUUAUUUGGGAAGAAAUGCCGACUUUCUAGUUGGUUUGACGGUACCAGAUGAAUAAGCACCGGCUAACUCCGUG
RNAcentral lists this ribosomal RNA (155 nucleotides) under uncultured Chitinophagaceae bacterium. RNAcentral describes it as "partial 16S rRNA". It matches the Rfam family "Bacterial small subunit ribosomal RNA", at positions 355 to 507 of the family's 1533-position model. The record is from RNAcentral. Lineage: Bacteria; Pseudomonadati; Bacteroidota; Chitinophagia; Chitinophagales; Chitinophagaceae.